AACUCUCAACAACGGAUAUCUUGGCUCCCGUAACGAUGAAGAACGCAGCGAAAUGCGAUACGUAGUGUGAAUUGCAGAAUUCCGUGAACCAUCGAAUCUUUGAACGCAAAUUGCGCUCGAGGCCUCGGCUAAGAGCAUGUCUGGCUCAGCGUC
This 153-nucleotide ribosomal RNA is filed under the name Trebouxia gelatinosa. Its description in RNAcentral is "5.8S ribosomal RNA". It matches the Rfam family "5.8S ribosomal RNA". Rfam says of the family: 5.8S ribosomal RNA (5.8S rRNA) is a component of the large subunit of the eukaryotic ribosome. It is transcribed by RNA polymerase I as part of the 45S precursor that also contains 18S and 28S rRNA. RNAcentral also lists the same sequence under 5 other names. The record is from RNAcentral. Lineage: Eukaryota; Viridiplantae; Chlorophyta; Trebouxiophyceae; Trebouxiales; Trebouxiaceae.